Molecule: ribosomal RNA, 190 nt
Filed under: uncultured bacterium
Lineage: Bacteria
Description: partial 16S ribosomal RNA
Rfam family: Bacterial small subunit ribosomal RNA
Source: RNAcentral
CCUGCAUGAAGUCGGAAUUGCUAGUAAUCGUAGGUCAGCAUACUACGGUGAAUACGUUUCCGGGCCUUGUACACACCGCCCGUCAAACCAUGAGAGUUGGCAACACCCGAACCGUCGGUAGUCUAACCGCAAGGAGGACGCCGCCGAAGGGUGGGGGUUGAUGAUUAGGGUUAAGUCGUAACAAGGUAGC